This 253-nucleotide ribosomal RNA is filed under the name uncultured bacterium. RNAcentral's name for it is "partial 16S ribosomal RNA". It matches the Rfam family "Bacterial small subunit ribosomal RNA", at positions 524 to 776 of the family's 1533-position model. The record is from RNAcentral.
UACGGAGGGGGCGAGCGUUGUUCGGAAUCACUGGGUGUAAAGGGUGCGUAGGCGGUCCGUUAAGUCAGACGUGAAAUCCCUCGGCUUAACCGGGGAACUGCGUCUGAUACUGGAUGGCUUGGGAUUGGGAGAGGGAUGCGGAAUUCCAGGUGUAGCGGUGAAAUGCGUAGAUAUCUGGAGGAACACCGGUGGCGAAGGCGGCAUCCUGGACCAACACUGACGCUGAGGAGCGAAAGCCAGGGGAGCAAACGGG